RNAcentral lists this long non-coding RNA (227 nucleotides) under Elaeis guineensis (African oil palm). RNAcentral's name for it is "long non-coding RNA (EGUI_LNC002750)". The record is from RNAcentral. Lineage: Eukaryota; Viridiplantae; Streptophyta; Magnoliopsida; Arecales; Arecaceae.
UGUAGCUGUCAGUGGCUUUAAAAGCUACCAAGGAACAUAUUCUCCAAAUAUUAGUUGGAAGAGGAAGUCCGUCGUCAACCUCGUUCACAGGAUUGGUCACCUAGGUAAUUAUUGUUAUUAAUUCCCCCAAAUAUAAUAUUGGAUGCCCUCAAAAUAGUGGUGGCAAAACAAUUAAUAGACCUUCCCAUGCUCCCCUAAUUAGUUGUAUCAUACAAAUGUGAACCACC